GUCUUCAGUCUGAAAUUUGCUGUUUUUCUUUCAGAUUUAAAGAGUCUUUGAGUGCCUUAAACUUUGCCUGUUCUUUCACAUCUAUCAGUUGAUGUAUUAAAAGAUGUACUUUCUCCAGCAGAUGGCAACACACUUCUAAAUUAUUCAUAGAAUGUCUGAGAGACAUUCCAAAACCACACGUCUCCAGUUCACACCAGAAGUAUCCACUAGCUGCUACAGAAUAGUGAAGCAUUUUUAUUGCUGUAGACUCAGAAACUAUGGAGUUCCUACCAAUCAAAAUCUUUAUAUAGGAAAGGUUUCUCUUGUGUAGCACUGUGAAUGGACUCAGAAAUGUGAUCCCAGGGCACCAUUUGCAAAGGAACCAUAUUGACAUAGGCAGCCCUCUUGUACAAAUGAAGGUAAGUAACGCUGAAGGCUGGAUUUGCUCACUACCAUGUUAGGAGGGGCUGAUAAUUUUUUUCCUUUCCCUUGGUGAGAAGGGAGCCAUGCUAUUUUUAAAACUGCCACCUCCUGUAACAUGUAAUGCUUUUUUUGAGGCAACAUGAGUAGUUUGCUAGGCUUUGCAAAAAUGAUAGUGGCUUCCACUCAGUGACUUUCUGUGACAAGACUGAGGAGCAGAAUAUCAGCCAGGGAGGCAGAAUACAGUGUUGUCAGAAGAGCAGAAUACAAGGUUGUUGGUCAAGUAUUGCUCAGGAG
RNAcentral lists this long non-coding RNA (696 nucleotides) under Corvus moneduloides (New Caledonian crow). RNAcentral's name for it is "lncRNA (ENSCMUG00000020100.1)". Lineage: Eukaryota; Metazoa; Chordata; Aves; Passeriformes; Corvidae. The record is from RNAcentral.